UACGUAGGGUGCAAGCGUUGUCCGGAAUUAUUGGGCGUAAAGCGCGCGUAGGUGGUUCCUUAAGUCUGAUGUGAAAGCCCACGGCUCAACCGUGGAGGGUCAUUGGAAACUGGGGAACUUGAGUGCAGAAGAGGAAAGUGGAAUUCCAAGUGUAGCGGUGAAAUGCGUAGAGAUUUGGAGGAACACCAGUGGCGAAGGCGACUUUCUGGUCUGUAACUGACACUGAGGCGCGAAAGCGUGGGGAGCAAACAGG
This 253-nucleotide ribosomal RNA is filed under the name uncultured bacterium. RNAcentral's name for it is "partial 16S ribosomal RNA". It matches the Rfam family "Bacterial small subunit ribosomal RNA", at positions 524 to 776 of the family's 1533-position model. The record is from RNAcentral.